This is a non-coding RNA of Phalacrocorax carbo (great cormorant), 3240 nucleotides long. Lineage: Eukaryota; Metazoa; Chordata; Aves; Suliformes; Phalacrocoracidae. The record is from RefSeq and is a predicted model, not a curated record.
GCCUGGGGGGAUGCUCCGGCGCCGUUUUGGUGCCGAUGGAGCCCCUCAUCGUGUCCUCGGGUCUGCGUGGUGAAGGGCCGGGCACCGCAGGUGGGGACGAUGCUGGCGAAAGCUGCCAGGCGCUCUCUCAUCAGCCGCGUAUCCCGCAGCCUCUCCCGAGACCCCCGGCUCCGCUCCCGCCCGUGCCACCCCUGGGCAGCAGCAGGGCAUCCUCGGAGCCCGGCCCCAGCUCCGGCCUCGCCGCAUCCCACCGCUCCUUCCCUGGAAAGCAGUGAACCUCUUUCCAUCUCCUGAACCACCUGGGGAGAUGCCCCGGGGCAGGGACAGGAGUGACUCAGGCAGAUGGGCCAAGGUGAGGAGGAGGAAAGUCUGCUCUUGGUGCAGGAUCUUGUGGCUCUCUCACCCAGGCAAUGGCCCCAGGGCCCCCGGAUCAUCUGGAGCAAGGGAAGGCUCCUGAGCAUCCGACAAAGCAAACUGAGUCCCUGAUGGUGAGGAAAGAGGAUGAAGUUGUCCUUGUCAGUGAGGAAUGGUCCCCAUCAUGGGACGGCCCCAUCCCGACGCUGAGCCCACGGUCCUGGUGUGCGCAGCCGUUUGCAUGGCACGGGCUGGGCUGGACCUGAGCGGCCACACGAAGCGGGUGGUUUUAGGAGGAGAUGGAGGCCCCCGACCAGCACGCGGCUGCCUUGGACACCACCAAGCUACCGCUGGAGCCUAAAGCCCGCAGGGAACCAUCCCUUGAAGCCCAUCCCUGGCAGGACAGGUAGGCUGCCUGCUCCAGCAUCUUCCUCUACACCCUGAUGAAGUGCAGGAGAUGGGAGCAGCUCUCCUCCGAGGUAGGCUUGGCACGUCAUGGGCAGGCACGUCCCCUGUGCCCCUCUCCCUCCCUGAAGCGGCUGUGAUGGUGGCUGAGCUCUUCCAGGAGAGGCUACAAGCACUAUACAAGGCGCUGCUGGCCUUGCUGGAGAAGGAAGAGCUAUCGAAGACCAGGAACCCAGAGCCAGAAAGGGCUGUCAAAAGGGCAGAGGAGGCGGCUGAGCAGAUGUCGGUGUAUAGCUGGGGGAACCUGGUGUCCCUGGUUCAAUCCCGCUUGUCCUGGGCACUGUCUUGGCACAGCCUGGACCGCGCUCUGCAGCACUGGGUUUUGCGGAGCUCAGCCUCUCCCAUCCCUAAUGCGCAUCUUUGUUUCAGCAACCCAAGGCUCCGGACCCAAGCGCAGACCGGCCCCCUGGAUGCUCUUCUAGCCUUUGUGUACUUCAGUUUGAAUUUCUGUGGGUAUCCGCACCAAAGGGAAGAGGAGCUUUUUGGAAACCUCUCUCUGCUGCCUCCUGCCCCGGCCCAGGUCCCCAGCAACACCAUGGUGCUCAACCUGGGGAAGCUGCUGGAGAAAGCGGAGGAGCCAGAUCUACCUGGAGAGCAAAACCCACGUGCUGGAUGUCAAGCUGGGGAGGGAUGUGCUGGGACAUGAGAUCCCCUCUUCGUGAGCUGUCAGUCACCUCUUCUCGACUCAUGGCUGCUUUCACGAGGAAUCAGCAGGAGAGAGCAAAGUCCCUGCCUGCCCAGAUGUCACACAGAGGGGUCAUGGGUGGUGGCAGGGUCCCUGUGAGCCUCUUCUGUCCCGGCCCUCUCCCUGCAGUGCUGGGCUUGAGCUGGCUCCCACCCCUGGGCAUGCAGAGCCAGGGCAGCUGUAGGGAUGUGCAAGGUUUGCUCCAAUCACUUGUUUGUGUUUAGAGGAAACCUCCUAGGUAGGAAAUCUUGCAGCCACAUGUGUAUCAGAGCUGAGGCAUGGGCCCUCUCGGUGCUCUGAGCUGGAUGCACAGUAGGGGGUCAGACUGGCUUGUUUAGGAUGGAAGGACCCAAACACGUGGCGCUGGCUGUGCCGCAGGCUGCCUGGCACCUGGGGGGAGCCCUGGGUUGCUGCUGUGCCUGCAGCAAGUUUCUUUGCUGCAAUUAUCAGCCCCACACCAUGCCAGCCCUGUAAUUGCUUUCCUACACAGCAGCGGCUCAUCCCAGGACAUGGAGGGUAGCAGGGAGGGCCCCUGCAUACGCUGAAAGGUGCCACCUCGGGCUUGAAGUCACUGUAUGCGACUCUAAAAUUGCAUUUCUUGUGCUUUGCUGAAGCUGUUUCCUUUCUGCGUCUCUUCAGGCGCUCUUUUAUCCCUCUUUUUGUCUUUCCCACCCCCCCCCUCCAGCCCUGUAAUACCUUUCUUAAAAUUAAAGUAAGGGUCGUGCUGCAGGCGGGGGCCCGGCAGUGGCUGGCAGGCGGCGGCAGGGGGCGGCAGCAGCUCGCCGUUGGCACCGCGCACCCCCUUGGACGCAAACCCCGGACGCAGCCCCUGGCCCGGCGCUGCUCUGCCAAAAACUUUAUUGGAGAAGAGCGGCGGAGCCCCCCCCGUCCCUCCCCAGACACCGAGGGGCGGCUACGGCCGACUCUGGCUGUGGAGCCCCCCUCCCCAGCCCCUCAUUUUUCUCUGGGUUUGCUCCUGGCUCAGUUGCAUUUCCCUUUUGCAUCACCCUGCCUUCCUGGGCUCCCCACCCAGACCCCUCGGUGAGCACCCACAGCUGUGCAGAUGUGCACCCCCCCAUCCCCAGCUGUGGGGCAGAUGCACUUUGCGCUGUUAAUGCUUAAAAUGGGGUGGAUUCCGAGUGCAGCAACGCUUAAUGCUUGGUGGGGGAAGUGCAGCCCUUUCAUCACCCCAUCCUGAUGCCUCCAAAAAGGGAAUUUGUAUACUUUUACCUUCCCCCGGGGGAGCUACUGGGCUCCUAAGGCACAAAAUGAACGGCCCAGCAGCAGGAGCAACCCUGUCCCCCUGCUGGAAAAGCAAGGAGCCUGGGCCCGAUCCGGAGCUGGGAUGGGUGCGGGGAGUGCUGAGGCAGGCCAGGCCAACACAGCACUGUGAAGGUGCAGAAUUUGAGCUGGGGCAAGGGAACGGCCACCAGCCCCCAGCCCGCUCUCCAUUUUUUCAGCUCAUUGGCAUGGCUUACGUCCCUCCUCUACUGCAAACCCCUUUUUAAGGCAAACCCUAAAAGGCAGCCGGGGCAGAGACAAUCCAGAUGCUGCCUUUGGAAAACAGCUGGCUGGGGAGGGGGGAGGCCUGCUGUGUCCCCCACCCUGGCUCCAGGCAAUACCUUGUCCUGGCAGGAGGGCAGAGCCAUGGGGGUAAAGGGAGCAGCCAGUGGCUAAAGCCCCUGAAUCCAUCCCCAGGAGGGAGAAGGUGGGGAGUAGCCUGGCUGUGCAAGCUG